CGCCUGUGUUGGUGAAAGAGCUUUCGGGCGAUGUGAACGUGUCGGAACGCAAACUUUACGCGUCGGGUCAUCGUGGUGUGAGUGACUGAGCUUUCACUGAGCUUUCAUACACAAAACAACAAAUAUUAAACGAUGCGUCUUUCGCUUUUUCCACCCCCGUGAGAGCGGCGCACAUGUGCAGACUCGCACGCGCCGCGAAUUCACCACCACGACCAGCGCCAAAAAUGCAAAUAAACUCGCUUGUGCAAUUUUCCACCCUUGAGGGAUGAAGGCGAAAAAAAAAACUCAACGGACGCCGGAUGUUGUCGCACCGGAAGCACCCCCAAAUGAUCGAAGAGAAAAAAACUGAAAGGAAACCCGCUGUGAGGGUUUUGUUUUAGACGUGCGAGGGUUAACACACUGCAGGGGGUGUGGGUUGUGCAAGACAUCAAGACGCAAUCGUAAACUGUCGCCGAGGAGCCGAAUAUUAACUUUUGAUUUUUUUUUCAAAUUUUUUAAUUUCGAAAAAUCUUAAAUAUUUUACCUUUUAGGGGUGGGAAUAUAAAAUAGUUAAGGAAAGGAACACCCCAUGAUGUGGUGUUAUCUUGGGUGUUAAUCUAAAUUAAUUUUGAACAUUUUUUAAAAGAAUUUUUGAGUUUUAUUAAAAUUGUUUGAUGUUUUUGACAGUUUUUGGGCAGAAUUUAAGGGUUGGAGGGUUAAUAUGUAUAUAAAAUAAACAAGGGUUGAUAUUAUGGUAUGAUAAGUGUUAAUUUAGUGAGAUUUUUAUUGUUAUUUUAAUUAUUUUUAGCAAAAAAUAUUUUUAAAUGUUUAGAUGUAAAUAACUGCUACACCCUGUAUAAUGCACUUGUCAAUUUUAGUGCAGUUAGAGCUAGUUUAAUAAUAAUUCUAAUAACAUUUAAACAUUUCAAAUAUCUCUUAUAGUUUUACCAUAAUCUUCAAUUUAAUAAGUGGAAAUUGUUUUUAAAAUAUUGAAAUAAAGUUGCAACUUUAUUAGACAAUAACUUGAACACCCUGUAGACUACUAGAUUGAAAUUAAGUAUAGAAUGAUUAAAUUUAAGUGGCUUUCAUAUACUGUUUAAAUUUAUAAAUUAUCUUUAUUAGUUUUUGAGUUAUUUUGAUUUUUCUAAAAUAAUAUUUUUUUGCAAUUUUGAAA
Molecule: long non-coding RNA, 1153 nt
Organism: Dalotia coriaria
Lineage: Eukaryota; Metazoa; Arthropoda; Insecta; Coleoptera; Staphylinidae
Exons: 3
Source: RefSeq, a predicted model, not a curated record